RNAcentral lists this ribosomal RNA (303 nucleotides) under Triticum aestivum (bread wheat). RNAcentral describes it as "partial small subunit ribosomal RNA". The record is from RNAcentral. Lineage: Eukaryota; Viridiplantae; Streptophyta; Magnoliopsida; Poales; Poaceae.
AUGCAACGGUCUGAUAUUGCUUUGUCUUUGCAGGCCAUGGCCGUACCGUUUGGAGGAGGAGCAGUGGCUGCUGCAGCUGUCGUGGCUGGCGGGGGAGAACCUUGGUACUGCCCAAAGUGUCGCCAUUACCUGAGAGGCAAUAAAGCAGAGCAUGAAAAGAAACAUGAGUACGAUAAAAAGAAGAAAGAAGAAUUCGUCCGCAAGACUAAGGAGGAGAACAUCAAGAAGAGUGGGAAAGCUGGUGGAAACAAGGGAUGUAACAAGGGCUCCAACUAUGGGAAGCUCAGCAAAAUUUGCAAGUAA